GAUGAACGCUGACAGAAUGCUUAACACAUGCAAGUCUUUGGCGAAUCUGUGCUUGCACAGUCUAGCCAAGGCGGACGGGUGAGUAACGCGUAAAGAACUUGCCCUGCAGACAGGGAUAACAGACGGAAACGACUGAUAACACCUGAUACAGUUGCCGGCACGCAUGUGCCUGGCAAUGAAAAGAGAUGCUGCAGGAGAGCUUUGCGUCCUAUUAGCUUGUUGGUGAGGUGACGGCUCACCAAGGCGAUGGUAGGUAGCCGGCCUGAGAGGGUGAACGGCCACGAGGGGACUGAGAUACGGCCCUUACUCCUACGGGAGGCAGCAGUGGGGAAUAUUGGACAAUGGGGGCAACCCUGAUCCAGCAAUUCUGUGUGCACGAAGAAGGUUUUCGGAUUGUAAAGUGCUUUCAGCAGGGAAGAAGAAAGUGACGGUACCUGCAGAAGAAGCGACGGCUAAAUACGUG
This 463-nucleotide ribosomal RNA is filed under the name uncultured bacterium. RNAcentral's name for it is "partial 16S ribosomal RNA". It matches the Rfam family "Bacterial small subunit ribosomal RNA", at positions 28 to 507 of the family's 1533-position model. The record is from RNAcentral.